CUAAUAUCAAACUUGAUGAUCUUAGCCAAUCCAGUGCCUCCAUGCCGCGUGUGGAGACGUUGAACGUAGGUGCUGCACACUGUGCAGCACUGAGCCAGGAAGCACCUCUAGUGGCCAUUUGAGUGACUGCCACUGGGUGUCCUUAGGCCUUUUCUCUGAAAGGCAUGGUUUACAUUUAAAAGCCUGCAGGGACAUCCUAUGCUCAUACUUGAAAACGACAUACAGGACAUACUUGAAAACGAGAGAAAUCUCAAUGUAUCCAUCCUGGUAAAAUAUUUUAUAAAUAAAUAAAUGUUUG
Molecule: non-coding RNA, 298 nt
Organism: Pelobates cultripes (western spadefoot toad)
Lineage: Eukaryota; Metazoa; Chordata; Amphibia; Anura; Pelobatidae
Source: the annotation of a GenBank genome assembly